Oncorhynchus keta (chum salmon) is the source of this 1316-nucleotide long non-coding RNA. RefSeq lists it as uncharacterized. The transcript has 4 exons. NCBI's taxonomy places the organism in Eukaryota, Metazoa, Chordata, Actinopteri, Salmoniformes, Salmonidae. The record is from RefSeq and is a predicted model, not a curated record.
AGUCAGCACAAGAGAAGAGGAGAUCGAGCAGAGGACACAAAGGCUUACCCCUCGGACUGAGGGGCAGGCCGUCCCUGCACAAGUCAGCACAAGAGGAGAGGAGAUCGCGCAGUGGACACAGGUAGGUAUCUGACAACGGCUCGCCCUCGGACUGAGGGGCAGGCCGUGGCUGCACAAGUCAGCACAAGAGAAGAGGAGAUCGAGCAGAGGACACAAAGGCUUACCCCUCGGACUGAGGGGCAGGCCGUCCCUGCACAAGUCAGCACAAGAGGAGAGGAGAUCGCGCAGAGGACACAAAGGCUUACCCCUCGGACUGAGGGGCAGGUCGUCCCUGCACAAGAGAAGAGGAGAUCGAGCAGAGGACACAAAGGCUUACCCCUCGGACUGAGGGGCAGGCCGUCCCUGCACAAGUCAGCACAAGAGGAGAGGAGAUCGCGCAGAGGACACAGGUAGGUAUCUGACAACGGCUCGCCCUCGGACUGAGGGGCAGGCCGUGGCUGCACAAGUCAGCACAAGAGAAGAGGAGAUCGAGCAGAGGACACAAAGGCUUACCCCUCGGACUGAGGGGCAGGCCGUCCCUGCACAAGUCAGCACAAGAGGAGAGGAGAUCGCGCAGUGGACACAGGUAGGUAUCUGACAACGGCUCGCCCUCAGACUGAGGGGCAGGCCGUGGCUGCACAAGUCAGCACAAGAGAAGAGGAGAUCGAGCAGAGGACACAAAGGCUUACCCCUCGGACUGAGGGGCAGGCCGUCCCUGCACAAGUCAGCACAAGAGGAGAGGAGAUCGCGCAGAGGACACAAAGGCUUACCCCUCGGACUGAGGGGCAGGUCGUCCCUGCACAAGAGAAGAGGAGAUCGAGCAGAGGACACAAAGGCUUACCCCUCGGACUGAGGGGCAGGCCGUCCCUGCACAAGUCAGCACAAGAGGAGAGGAGAUCGCGCAGAGGACACAGGUAGGUAUCUGACAACGGCUCGCCCUCGGACUGAGGGGCAGGCCGUGGCUGCACAAGUCAGCACAAGAGAAGAGGAGAUCGAGCAGAGGACACAAAGGCUUACCCCUCGGACUGAGGGGCAGGUCGUCCCUGCACAAGAGAAGAGGAGAUUGAGCAGAGGACACAAAGGCUUACCCCUCGGACUGAGGGGCAGGUCGUCCCUGCACAAGAGAAGAGGAGAUCGAGCAGAGGACACAAAGGCUUACCCCUCGGACUGAGGGGCAGGUCGUCCCUGCACAAGAGAAGAGGAGAUUGAGCAGAGGACACAAAGGCUUACCCCUCGGACUGAGGGGCAGGCCGUCCCUGCACAAGUCAGCACAAGAG